Molecule: long non-coding RNA, 340 nt
Filed under: Trifolium pratense (red clover)
Lineage: Eukaryota; Viridiplantae; Streptophyta; Magnoliopsida; Fabales; Fabaceae
Description: long non-coding RNA (TPRA_LNC002784)
Source: RNAcentral
AAUGACAAUCCAUUUUCAUAACUAUCAAUGUUCCGAUCAAGAUAAGUAUUUAUAGAGAGAGAUAUACAUCCAUAGUUAAAAAUAAGACAAACUAUAUGUUUGUUAAUUGUUGAUUUCAUGAUCAUACAUGUCUUUGUGAAGAUAAAAAAUAGAUUUUUGACUUAAAACAAUAAUCAAACUCCUCUGUAAUCUUCUACUUCUUCUUUAAUCAUUUUGUGUGCCUUUCGUAAGGAUGACCUGUUUUCAUACUUUUUUCCUUGCUAUAGUCUUCUCCCACUCUUUCCCGUUCUUUUCUAUAUCUAUUUUUUUGUUGUUAAUGGUGUGAAGUGUCUUCUCUCCU